UACGGGGGGUGCAAGCGUUGUCCGGAAUCACUGGGCGUAAAGCGCGCGCAGGCGGCGAUCUACGUCCGGGGUGAAAGCCCAGAGCUCAACUCUGGGACUGCCUUGGAUACGGGAUCGCUUGAGGAUCGGAGAGGCAAGGGGAAUUCCACGUGUAGCGGUGAAAUGCGUAGAGAUGUGGAGGAACACCUGUGGCGAAGGCGCCUUGCUGGCCGAUUUCUGACGCUGAGGCGCGAAAGCGUGGGGAGCAAACAGG
This 253-nucleotide ribosomal RNA is filed under the name uncultured bacterium. Its description in RNAcentral is "partial 16S ribosomal RNA". It matches the Rfam family "Bacterial small subunit ribosomal RNA", at positions 524 to 776 of the family's 1533-position model. The record is from RNAcentral.